UAGUGUGUCGGGCGCUGCCUCCAAAGCGCUGGGAAAGAUAUAGUCGCUGUCCCGCGUGGGGCUCACGGUCUAAGUAGGAGAGGCAGAAGAGGGAAGGAGGGAGAAGAAAAGGAGGCUGAAUUGUACUUUCCAAGCCCUUAGUUCAGUGCUCUGCACAUAGUAAGCGCUCAAUAAAUACGACUGAAUGAAUGAAUGCUCUGCACACGGUAAGCGCUCAAUAAAUACGACUGAAUGAAUGAAUAAAAGAGGGAGGCUGCCCUUCCCGGGAAAGGCCUGUUUUUCUCCCGGUCGUCGGGAGGGUCCGGUCUGCUCCUUGGCGCCCUCUGGCCCGGACCUUGGGCGGUUGAGGUUUCCGGUGAGCGGCAGCAGGCCGGUUAUGACGACUCCCGCCGCCGCCGCCGCCGCCGCCUUUUGCUGCUGCUGCUGCUGCCGCUGCCGCCGCUCGGGCCGAGGCUUCAGGUGAGGACUCCAAAAGUCUGAAAAUAGAAACUUCCAAGUUUCCAGGAUCAAAUAAGUAUUAUUUUUGAUUGAUCAAAUUGUGGUGAAUAUGACUUAAGAUGAAAUUCUAAGGUAUAGAUCGUAUCAUUUACUAAAGCUAACACUACCACAGCAGCAGACACUACAGUAGCAGCAGUAAUUCUCAGAGCAUUCUUUAAAAUGCUCUUACUCUUCUCCCAUUAAUAAAGAUCACUUAACAAAAAUCGAGUUUGUGAUGUGACCUUUCAGUUCAGCAGCCUUCCAGGAGCCAUGUAAUUCAAGAAGAAACUUUUUAUCUAUUGCUUCUCAGAAGAAUCCUUAUUUUCCAUAAGUUGGAAAGAUCGUAGUAAUACUGGUGGUAUUUGUUAAGCAUCUAGUCUGUGCCAAGCAGUGUACUAAGCGCUGGGGAGGAUACAUGGUAUUCGGGUCAGACACAGUCCCUGGCCCAACCAGGGUUAACAGUCUGAAGUAUAAAGGCGAACAUAUGUUUUCUUUACAGAUGCGGAAACUGGGACACAGAGAAGUUAAGUGACUUGUCCAGGGACACACAGCAGAUCAGUUAGCAGAGCCAGAAGGUAUUAAUAAUAAUAUUUGCUAAGCACUUAGUAUGUUUCAGGUGCUGGGGUGGUUACAAGUAAAUCUGACGGACACAGUCCCUGUCCCACGUAGGGCUCACAGUCUUAAUCCCUAUUUUACAGCACAGAGACCUGUUUUUAGGUCACACAGCAUUCAUUCAUUCAAUUCAAUCAUAUUUAUUGAGCGCUUACUGUGUGCAGAGCACUG
Molecule: long non-coding RNA, 1260 nt
Filed under: Ornithorhynchus anatinus (platypus)
Lineage: Eukaryota; Metazoa; Chordata; Mammalia; Monotremata; Ornithorhynchidae
Description: lncRNA (ENSOANG00000044293.1)
Source: RNAcentral